RNAcentral lists this ribosomal RNA (253 nucleotides) under uncultured bacterium. Its description in RNAcentral is "partial 16S ribosomal RNA". It matches the Rfam family "Bacterial small subunit ribosomal RNA", at positions 524 to 776 of the family's 1533-position model. The record is from RNAcentral.
UACGUAGGGUGCGAGCGUUGUCCGGAAUUAUUGGGCGUAAAGGGCUCGUAGGCGGUUUGUCGCGUCGGGAGUGAAAACCCAGGGCUUAACCCUGGGCUGGCUUCCGAUACGGGCAGACUAGAGGUAUGCAGGGGAGAACGGAAUUCCUGGUGUAGCGGUGAAAUGCGUAGAGAUCAGGAGGAACACCCGUGGCGAAGGCGGCCUUCUGGGUCCGCCCUGACGCUGAGGCGCGAAAGCGUGGGGAGCGAACGGG